Molecule: ribosomal RNA, 279 nt
Filed under: uncultured bacterium
Lineage: Bacteria
Description: partial 16S ribosomal RNA
Rfam family: Bacterial small subunit ribosomal RNA
Source: RNAcentral
UGCCAGCCGCCGCGGUAAUACAGAGGGUGCAAACGUUGUUCGGAAUUAUUGGGCGUAAAGCGCGUGUAGGCGGUUCGUUAAGUCUGAUGUGAAAGCCCGGGGCUCAACCCCGGAAGUGCAUUGGAAACUGGCGAACUUGAGUACGGGAGAGGUGAGUGGAAUUCCCGGUGUAGCGGUGGAAUGCGCAGAUAUCGGGAGGAACACCAUUAGCGAAGGCGGCUCACUGGGCCGAUGCUGACGCUGAGGAGCGAAAGCGUGGGGAGCAAACAGGAUUAGAUA